UUGAUCCUGGCUCAGAAUCAACGCUGGCGGCGUGCCUCAGACAUGCAAGUCGAACGAUUAAAGCUCUCUUCGGAGAGUGUAUAGAGUGGCGCACGGGUGUGUAACACGUAAGUAAUCUACCUUCGAGUGGGGAAUAACCCGGGGAAACCUGAGCUAAUACCGCAUAAUGCAGCGGCACCUAAUGGUGACAGUUGUUAAAUAUUUAUCGCUUGAAGAGGAGCUUGCGGCAGAUUAGCUAGUUGGUAAGGUUAUGGCUUACCAAGGCUACGAUCUGUAACCGGUCUAAGAGGACGGUCGGUUACACUGACACUGAAUAACGGGUCAGACUCCUACGGGAGGCAGCAGUCGGUAAUUUUGGGCAAUGGGCGAAAGCCUGACCCAGCAACGCCGCGUGAAGGAUGAAGUAUUUCGGUAUGUAAACUUCGAAAGAAUGGGAAGAAUAAAUGACGUUACCAUUUAUAAGGUCCGGCUAACUACGUGCCAGCAGCCGCGGUAAUAAUGU
Molecule: ribosomal RNA, 502 nt
Filed under: uncultured Acidobacteriota bacterium
Lineage: Bacteria; Pseudomonadati; Acidobacteriota
Description: bacterial SSU rRNA
Rfam family: Bacterial small subunit ribosomal RNA
Source: RNAcentral